RNAcentral lists this microRNA precursor (58 nucleotides) under Ascaris suum (pig roundworm). RNAcentral describes it as "Asu-Mir-10-P2o5_pre stem-loop". Lineage: Eukaryota; Metazoa; Nematoda; Chromadorea; Rhabditida; Ascarididae. The record is from RNAcentral.
AACCCGUAGAUCCGAACUUGUGUUGGGUUUGGUAACAUGAGCUCGGCACUCGGGUAGA